GUACACUCCUGCGGGAGGCAGCAGUGGGGAAUUUUGGACAAUGGGCGAAAGCCUGAUCCAGCAAUGCCGCGUGAGUGAAGAAGGCCUUCGGGUUGUAAAGCUCUUUUGUCAGGGAAGAAACGGUGAAAGCUAAUAUCUUUUGCUAAUGACGGUACCUGAAGAAUAAGCACCGGCUAACUACGUGCCAGCAGCCGCGGUAAUACGUAGGGUGCAAGCGUUAAUCGGAAUUACUGGGCGUAAAGCGUGCGCAGGCGGUUUUGUAAGUCUGAUGUGAAAUCCCCAGGCUCAACCUGGGAAUUGCAUUGGAGACUGCAAGGCUAGAAUCUGGCAGAGGGGGGUAGAAUUCCACGUGUAGCAGUGAAAUGCGUAGAUAUGUGGAGGAACACCGAUGGCGAAGGCAGCCCCCUGGGUCAAGAUUGACGCUCAUGCACGAAAGCGUGGGGAGCAAACAGGAUUAGAAACCCCGGUAGUCCCAUG
Molecule: ribosomal RNA, 477 nt
Filed under: uncultured organism
Description: partial 16S ribosomal RNA
Rfam family: Bacterial small subunit ribosomal RNA
Source: RNAcentral